CUUCUACAGUGAAGGACUGUGCAACGAUAUAAACCACUCGGUGGGAAACAGGAACCUUCGACAUGGUUCCUAUUGUGUUUCAUCGUCAGAAUUUCAUGCACGUGAGAACUCCCCUCCACUCCCAGGAAUAGUAUCGUCAAAGUCCACUCUUUCCCAUUCGUGGGGACACUGCAGCUAUUGCUACCCCUAUUUGCCAGAUAAUCAGAUUUUUUUUUUGUGCAGCCUCUGGACAAUUUUUGGUGUUUUUAAUGAAAGCAACUGCUACAUUACCUAAGGAUUUGACGGAAAAAAUAUUGCAAUGCCAUCUAGGAUUAAACGGAAAAGGCUCCGACGACCCAUGGUUUUGGAUUUGUUUCCUGGAAGUUGGCCAUAUUUUCAAGAUGCCCUGUGUGGGUACUAGAAUCUGAGCCAGUGGGAGACUAAUUUACAGUUGCUGGAUGUAAGGAGGGACGGAUCAGGAGUGGAUGAAAAAAAGGCUAUCACAUGCGUUUGUGUUUGUCAUGACGGAAAAGACUGUUUUUUUUUGGUAACGAUUAAAACAAACAAAGGGCAAGCAACCUCGGUAAGCUGAAACCGCGCUAUUCUCCGACGGCUCUCUGCAAGUGCAGGAAAGACCACCUGAAUCGGUCUAUCUACCGAUGGGCUGGGUGGCCGCAAGCCGGCGCCAACUCCCAUUUUGGCAUAGGACUUGCAUUUGAGAAAAGGAGAGGAUGCGGACCCCCCGCAGAUCUUUGAGGGAGGCUGAGAGGGUAACACAAACCAUGGGGAGUACCCAAGCAUGUGUCAGGUUGGCAUCAAUGUGAAAAUGUCUUGGCAAGCACUCCAUUCUCUCCCCUCCCACCUCAGCUUGCACAAAAACACACUGUUGCCCUGCUUGGAACACAUGGUACAUCAGCAGCGGCAUCUGGCCACGCUGACUCCUGGCAGCUGCGUUUCGUCUUCGCCAGUUGGGAGUCUUGGCACCGCCACUUCAUCAACUACCUGUGGCUCCUCUUGGGUAAAAAGCAGAGCCAUGAAUUAUUCCGCGGCUGCAGCUGCAAACUUGACUUUUAUCCAAAAGAUUCCCAACAAACAUACGGGUGUCUCACAGAACACAUGCCACCCACAAACUAUCGCUCGGUUGACACCAUGGUUUCUAUCAUCUGCGGAGGGAUUUUAUCCUCAUGUGAUGCUACAGUUCGUUUGGGGUGACAAAGUUGCUCUGUGACGACUCUUCAUGCUUUCUUGAUGAGUCAGAAGGGAAACUGGAAGCUUGCUGAUUAUAAAAGAUGGUUUAAAGCCUCAAAUCAACAAAAACAAACCAUGUUAAAGGCUAACAUAACACAAACCCCUAGAGGAUUAGUGCUCUUCAUCUUGCAGCAUCUCUUUGUGUUGGAAAACUGGGGUGAAAGAUCACCUCAAACACCAAGGACUACACUGAUGGGAAAUUCUCUUCCUUCUUCAUAGUGAAUUAACGGAUGGUUAACCUCUUGAACUCAACUUUUACGUCUCCACAUUCCACUUGUAAUAGAGGUUUUGAUAACCAGGGACAUGUGCUUGUUCUAUUUUGAAUACAUAUCAGCUGUGACACCGUAGAAUCACGGCCCACUGGAAAAUACUGGCAUCUUAAAAGAAGAGUUCUCAUGAGCUUUUCUAACAAGACGGCUCAGAGACUAUUAGCUUGUUGCUUUUAAAGAUUAAAAGUGUGGGGUGGAUAUGUUUAUCUCUGGAGUGUGUUUUAUUAGUCUGUUACAGUUUGUUCAGGCUUCCCUGGCACUGAAAUUGCACUUUUGGCUGAUUGGGUUUCUUGCAAAAAUUUUUUUUUUACAUUUCCUACAAGACACCAGUUAUUUAAGUUUUCUAAGUUGCCCUAAUGCUACUAUAAACAUGUUCCUUUAUGUCAUUUUAAAUUAUCUUUUUUUUGGCACAUUUGACUUAAAACAUUAAAAAAAUAAUUUAUUGCUUUUAUCUUGUGGCAUUCCCUUGCUUUUUCCCACAUGUUGUGGUUGCCGUAGACUUUUUUUUUUUUUUUAGAACCAGUGGAUUUGUUUUUAAUUCUAACUAUUCCAUUGCUCUUGUUUAAAUAGAAAAAUGGUGUGCCAAAGUCUGUCAAUAUUUGAUUAUGUGUCAUUUUCAAACAUAGAUAUGCUGUUUUUUUCUGUGAGUCAUCUGACUGUGACCCCGUGGGAUUUAUUUCUCCAUCUGUGUCGGUCUGACCCAUUUUAGCCCUCGGCCACAUCCAACUGUUCCAUGUCCUUAACAUAUGUGAGGUGUCAGGGGGCUAAGCGAACCAAGGCGGUGCGGGACCUGCAGAUAUGACACUGGACUGCCUUUCUGUCUGUGCGCGUCCCUCAGCGUAUGUCAUACUUCUUCAGCUUCUUGUGUUAACCUAUCACACCUGUCAGAGGUGUAAACCUGAUAACUUAUGAAAGUUAGUUCAAAGAAGCUCCUUGUUUUAAUCUUCAAUGUGUUUUUCACUCUAUAUGUAUGUUUUCACACAGAUGUUUUAAUUUUCUUUUUUUGGGUACUAUUACAUUUAACUUUACAGUUAGUUUUUGCUUUUAUUGUGAAGCCCAGGAUUCAGCACUUGACUGGGUGCACAGACGUGUCUCGCAAUCUGCACAGAUCACAGCGCCAGUCCACAAAGACAGAAUUGGCCCAUCUGAGAAGAAAUUGGGGUAUUUUCCAAGUGGCCCAUGUUGGCAGAUGAGAUGGUUUCAUUGCACGGAGCCGCAGCCCACAAGGGACCGAGGGGUGUGAGGCACAUAUGGGCGAACAGGCUGCUGAUGAGCUGCUUAUAUGAGCCUCUCAUCAUGGCCUUAGAGAGACACAUCUCCACCAGAGGAUUAAACUGGGCUGUGGAUAUGUGUUGUUGGCAUUGUAGUUUCCUGCUUCAGAAGCAUAUAUGCAGAUGUUUUCCCUUCAGAUUAUUACACAAUGCACUAAUUGACUGACAAAGAUUCACGUUUUGUUUUUUUUUCUUUUUCCAAGCUUCUGAAAAUUCCUACUGUCAUAAACGCACCCUCGAUAAUGCAGGGUUAAGCUGUGAUCAGACAAAAUAAAAAUUAUUUAUCGUAGCCUUAAGAUAACAUAUCCACAUGCAUUACAUCUAACAUCCUGACCAACCGGCUGACGAGAUCACAUUUUUAUGGCAUUCCAGUAAUGCCUUAUUGAUUUUCUUUUUCCCUUUUAGCCUCCACACAUUCUCUGAAAAAGAAUUACACCUUGUCAGUCAAGUAAACAAUGCCAGAUUAUAGGGUUCAGCUUUUCCAUCAUUUUUUUCUACUGUGAAGCGAGUAUAUUUACAUGUGGAUAUGGUUUAAAAGUUAAUGUUGUCAUGCCUUCUUUUAUUUUUAACAUGCAUACCUGGGGCAACUGCAUCUUAUUGCAAAUAAAAAAACUUAGCUUGACAAACUCGCUUGCUCAUCACUACAAAAACACACGUGCACACACGUGCACAGACAGGCGCUGUGGCUCUGUGUGGAGCUCUCUGGGAAACAGUGGCAGAUGCUGUCUAGCGUCCCUGAGAGGGCAGAGCCUGCUGGUGUAGUGUUGUCCAGACUCUCAAGGAAACUUACAGCAAUAAAAGCAUCACGGUUAGCCCUGAACACUAUCAUUCAUGUAAAUAUUUCAUUUAUGUGACUGGUACUACAAAUUCUAAUUAUCUAUUGAGACAUAAAUGAGUCACGAUUUGUAAGCUUGCCCUUUAAAGUUUGCAAUGCAUAAAUAUUUGCUCUGCUAAUUGUUUUUUUGUAUUUCAUCAGAUCUAUAGAUUUUCCCUUUAACUCUAAAUUGUUUUAAUUAGGAACCUAAGGAAUUGAUGUGGGGAUCGUGUCAUUAAAAUUCACAUAGAAGUUUGAAAAUAAUUGACUCAAAGUGGAUUUGCUUUUGCCGUUUCCCUCCCUGAUUUCAGAAUAAAGGCCUGAAUAAGUCAUCGCUCUCCAACAGCGUUUUUAAUAUUUACCAAAGGUCUGCGCAUCACAACACUAGUGCUUGAGGCCAGCCUGUUCAGAGAUGCUCAACACACCGAAAAGUCGUUGACAUGUAUUGUGUGCAGUCUCUGACCUGCCAGUUCAAAUCUGCUGCAAUUCUGAACCUGAGAAGCCUUUUUCAAUUCUGCCAUAAAAAAAGCUGUUUGCAGUGGUGUCAUGUAAGGUCUAUUGAAACUUCUUGACUGGAGCUUUCUUUUCAUUUACAAAGAAGCCAUGACUGACAAAGAAAACAAGAUACUAUAGAAAGAUGACAUUACGUAAAGAGUGUGUUUAUUAGUUUUGAACCAGGCUGCAAAGUGGUGAUGGCUAUAUUUGUUAAUGGGGCAACGAGGGGGUGGGAGACUAUAUCUACACUGACUGGAAGGGUAUGGGACGUGGCUUUAGUACGUAUCUUAUCUGUGUGUUCAUUACUGCUUUGCAUUUCACUCAGUGAGCUUGGGUGCUCCACUAAAUCGCAGGAAGGAUUGUUAGACACGCGUGUUAUUAAUUUUUUCAGGGUCCCUGUGGCGUCUGUAUGAAUCUUAAUGCUGCUGACUGGGCUGCAGCUCUAUCGACUUUCUUUAAAAUAUGAAGAAGCUUUGCUGGAAGCGCCUGGGGUCAUUAGCUGAAGAGUAGGCGCAAAUCCCUCACCGAGGCUGCUCUGGCUUCGCCAUGUUAAAUGCGCUCUUAAAAUAUUCAUAAUCAUACUCUUGCCUGCACUCACAGUCUGACACACACACACAUAUGCACACAGACAAUGCACCGGGGACUUAAGGGGAUCAAUAUUAAAAUGUAUUCCUGUUUUGGUGUGCGGUUAAUUAGCUGUGGUUCUCUUAAACCAUGAAGUUUGAGAGCAGAUUAACAGUAUCUUUUUGUACACCAGACGAAAUGCAUAAUAGAAGAAGUUGACAUAUGAAAGGGGAAAUAAAAACCCUCUUCAAAUCAUUAGUUCUUUUGUUUCUUUAAUGCUUUACAGACAUAUUUUAGUUAAGAUUCCCACAAGCCAACUGUGUAGAGGCUCCUCGCAGACACUGUAACUUCCUCUGUGCUCCGAGAAUUCUUGUUUUAUAUUCUCAUAAUUAAGUGGGAAUUUGCAUAAAAUUUACAUACAAACUGUCAGAGAAUCCCUAAUACAUUCAUACUGUUUAUUUAUUUUUUUAUGUAUGAAAAGAUUGAUUUUCCAUGACCCAUUUUGUACUUUUGUUUUAUAAAACAGUGUCAGGAGCCACUGUUAUUUAAAAUACAGGUAUCUAUAAAAGAGUUGUCAGUGAAGCACAUUCUAUUGAUAGUUUUUUUAGUGUAUUUAUGAUGUUCUUAUCUGUGCAAGUGAUCACUCUCAAAAAGAUUUUUGAAGAAAAGUUGUCCUUUUCUUAAAAGGAAACUAAGGAAAUAUUGUACUUGUACAUUGUCCAAAUGCCAAAUAAUUUUGCAAUGGUUGAGUUCUGUUUAAAGUUUACCUUUUUUUUUUGUAUUUCCGGAAAGGAAAAUUGCAAAGGAUUUUUUAAUCAGUCACACUUUAGAAUUAUGUGACUUCUGUCAACUGUGCUUGUUUUACUCUCAUAUAGCAUGUUUUCUUUAUUUUCUGUGCACUUUCUUCUUGAAGCAACAUUUAUAAAUAUCAAUGAACUGAAUUAAGUGUCUGGGAUUAGUUUCCUUUUGUCGUAGAUGAUAAAAAAUGUCUUAUUGGUAAUUCUAAAAAGUUCAGUUUUAGCAAAAUUGGUUUGUUUGAAACAUUUAUGAAUUUUUGUUAAUGCAUAAGAAAGAACAACCUAAAUAUUUCUGAGUUUGUUGCAGAAUUGUUGUGAUUUUUGCGCCAGAUCAGCAUAUUUAGCCAUGGACAUGAACAACUUUUAAUAUUUAGAUUUUUUUUAUGUUGGUUUUUCAUCUAUCAUCAUUCCCUUUUUAAAAUUGUCACUCAGACUGCAAAAAGUGCUUACUUAUUUUUUAUAAAUUGUGAAUCAAAAUAUUUGACAGUAGAUUGAUUUCACAACCUAAAUGAUUUAUAAGUGCAAAACAUAAACUGCAGGAGGGCCAGCUGGAGCUAAACAUGCUUUUGGUUUUAUUUAUACAGCGAAAAAUUACAGUUUGACUUGUAAACGUCAUAUAUUUCUAUUAGAAAUAGUUCAUUUUUGUGUAAAUAUACUUGGAAAAUUGUCCAAAUACUUGACAUUCUGGAAUGUGGGAGACUUGCUUUAAAAUGGAGUGGUCUCAGGUGUCAAAUGUUAAGACAUUGUCAAUGUUUUUUAAAAUCUAGUGUAGAUCCAGAACAAAGCAGAAGUGCAAACACAAACAACACAGUAACCCCUGUGGGGGAUCUGUACAUACAACUGACAGAUCCAUAAAUCAAACAUGAAGAUGAGGUUAGACUCAAGACAUUAAUCCAAAAAAUGGUAAAUCCUUUGACUGAAUCAAAUUAUUUUAUUUAAAUACCUCUCAGCAUCACUUUUUUCCCUUUUGUUGUAAACCAGAAGUGUUGGUUCUUGUCUGAAAGGUCCUGCCCAUCUACUCAACUGAAAGCCAUUUUCUUUCACGUCUUUUUCUCAGGUUUGCCACAAAACAAAGAUCGCUUAUAUAAAACUGUUGCCUUACUGGGAUUUUGCUCAUUUAUAAACAAAAACAAACAGUAAAUUAAGCUACAUGUUAAUUCUGUACAGAAAUAAGCUGCUCCUUAAGGGUUGCUGGCUGUGAAUUGCAGUUUCCUGCUUUGUGUUUCCCCCUUUUCCCGUCUUUUCUCCACUGGAAGCCCUCCAAUGAAGGCAUAAAAAAUGCAUAAAGUGCAAAAAAAAUUACUUCUCAGAAAUCAUCUUCAAACAACUUGUUUAAAAAUAUGCUCAAAAAAUACAAUAAAUGAAGCAUGUUGCCUAAUACCAGGUACGACUUAAAAACUU
Long non-coding RNA from Oryzias melastigma (Indian medaka), 6838 nucleotides. RefSeq lists it as uncharacterized. The transcript is spliced from 2 exons. Lineage: Eukaryota; Metazoa; Chordata; Actinopteri; Beloniformes; Adrianichthyidae. The record is from RefSeq and is a predicted model, not a curated record.